RNAcentral lists this ribosomal RNA (498 nucleotides) under uncultured bacterium. RNAcentral's name for it is "partial 16S ribosomal RNA". It matches the Rfam family "Bacterial small subunit ribosomal RNA", at positions 30 to 523 of the family's 1533-position model. The record is from RNAcentral.
AUUGAACGCUGGCGGCAUGCCUUACACAUGCAAGUCGAACGGUAACAGGUCUUCGGAUGCUGACGAGUGGCGAACGGGUGAGUAAUACAUCGGAACGUGCCUAGUCGUGGGGGAUAACUACUCGAAAGAGUGGCUAAUACCGCAUGAGAUCUACGGAUGAAAGCAGGGGAUCGCAAGACCUUGUGCUACUAGAGCGGUCGAUGGCAGAUUAGGUAGUUGGUGGGAUAAAAGCUUACCAAGCCGACGAUCUGUAGCUGGUCUGAGAGGACGAUCAGCCACACUGGGACUGAGACACGGCCCAGACUCCUACGGGAGGCAGCAGUGGGGAAUUUAGGACAAUGGGCGAAAGCCUGAUCCAGCAAUGCCGCGUGCAGGAUGAAGGCCUUCGGGUUGUAAACUGCUUUUGUACGGAACGAAAAGCCCCGGGUUAAUACCCUGGGGUCAUGACGGUACCGUAAGAAUAAGCACCGGCUAACUACGUGCCAGCCGCCGCAGUAA